CUUGCUCUGCACCCCUGGGCGGGCGACCCAGAAAUCGGGCUUAGAACCCGGGCGCCGCAUCCUGGACGUCUGAGGUGCACUCCUAUGAAGAGUCAAAAGAAGGAAAGAAUGACUAUCACACAUUCAAAAGCAAAGUUCAAGCUCUGCCUUUUCCACAUUCUGUGCUGCUCUAAGAUAGGAACCCAGAAGAGGAAUGGUCUUUUCUUGCAGCUCUAAAAAUCAUG
Marmota flaviventris (yellow-bellied marmot) is the source of this 224-nucleotide non-coding RNA. The record is from RefSeq and is a predicted model, not a curated record. NCBI's taxonomy places the organism in Eukaryota, Metazoa, Chordata, Mammalia, Rodentia, Sciuridae.